This 367-nucleotide long non-coding RNA is filed under the name Gossypium raimondii (Peruvian cotton). RNAcentral describes it as "long non-coding RNA (GRAI_LNC011270)". Lineage: Eukaryota; Viridiplantae; Streptophyta; Magnoliopsida; Malvales; Malvaceae. The record is from RNAcentral.
GGAGAGAAAGAAUUUCAACUUUAAUGGAAGAACCGUGAUAAGCUAAAAAGAAAGGCAUUGCCCCGGUAGAUGUUUUUAUUUUUGUUUUUUGUUCCAAUUUUUCUUUUUCUCUUUCUUUUCUUCUUUUUUUUGUUUUGUUUGUUUUUGUUUUGUUUUUUGUUUUUUGUUUUUAUUUUUUUCUUGGAUUGAAUCUACACUCAUAGGAUUAGGCAAGUCCUGGUUAUCCCUUUCGAUCAGAAUCAAUGUUAUUCCAGAUAAGGUCUUCCACAUAAAAUCUUCCACUUUCAUUUUGUAUGCGGCAGAUCUUCUUUGGUAUCAGGCUUCUCUCAUAGAGCCUUUUGGGGCGAAUUUUAACUAUAGCAAAAAG